This 270-nucleotide long non-coding RNA is filed under the name Ananas comosus (pineapple). RNAcentral's name for it is "long non-coding RNA (ACOM_LNC031207)". The record is from RNAcentral. Lineage: Eukaryota; Viridiplantae; Streptophyta; Magnoliopsida; Poales; Bromeliaceae.
CUUAUUUGUUUUUUAUGAUGGAGCCUUCAAAUCGACGAUCGCCACCGUUGAAAAUGAUUCAUACCACUUGAAGUAUUUAGAAAUCAAAUUUCAUGAUUUUUCAAUAUUGUUCUCUUGUCCAUCAAGUGGGCGUAAAAAUAAACGGCUGAAAAUGAAUAUCCUCUAAAAAGCGAUUAUAGGAAUUUUAUAACCAAGAUUGAGAGUAUAGAUCUUAUUCUAAAUAGUUUUAAAAAUUUUCUAACCAAAAUUUAAUGGAUUUGGAUAGCUUUA